UACGAAGGGGGCUAGCGUUGCUCGGAAUCACUGGGCGUAAAGGGCGCGUAGGCGGCCAAGUAAGUUGGGGGUGAAAGCCCGAGGCUCAACCUCGGAACUGCCUUCGAUACUGCGGGUCUCGAGUCCGGGAGAGGUGAGUGGAAUUCCUAGUGUAGAGGUGAAAUUCGUAGAUAUUAGGAAGAACACCAGUGGCGAAGGCGGCUCACUGGCUCGGUACUGACGCUGAGGCGCGAAAGCGUGGGGAGCAAACAGG
RNAcentral lists this ribosomal RNA (253 nucleotides) under uncultured bacterium. RNAcentral describes it as "partial 16S ribosomal RNA". It matches the Rfam family "Bacterial small subunit ribosomal RNA", at positions 524 to 776 of the family's 1533-position model. The record is from RNAcentral.